RNAcentral lists this long non-coding RNA (386 nucleotides) under Coffea arabica (coffee). RNAcentral's name for it is "long non-coding RNA (CARA_LNC007795)". The record is from RNAcentral. Lineage: Eukaryota; Viridiplantae; Streptophyta; Magnoliopsida; Gentianales; Rubiaceae.
GCUUUGAUGAACUCCUCAGAUAGACCUCAAAACAGGUAAACAAAGAUAAAACAAAACAAAAUGCAGCAAAGGAAAAGUAAAACCUGCGCAAGCUGCUGCAACAUGACCAAGAGCUUUGAGCUCGUUGCAGCAGACUUUGUGCGCAGGUUUCUGCAACUAACUAAGAAAGAAACCAGCUGCAUUUCAUUUCCAAACUCAGAUUAAGGAACUAACCAUGUAACCAACCCAGACCAAACAAACAAAACUCAGCAAAACAUCAUGCAUAAAUUCUGGAAAACAUACGCGCAAAACUGGUUUGACAACCUGAAUCAUUUAUUUUCCAGCAAGCAUUAGAUCCUAAAUCAGGAACUCUAGCCCCCAAACAUGCGAACCCAGCAUCAAACUUC